GUUAAGCGACUAAGCGUACACGGUGGAUGCCCUGGCAGUCAGAGGCGAUGAAGGACGUGCUAAUCUGCGAUAAGCGUCGGUAAGGUGAUAUGAACCGUUAUAACCGGCGAUUUCCGAAUGGGGAAACCCAGUGUGUUUCGACACACUAUCAUUAACUGAAUCCAUAGGUUAAUGAGGCGAACCGGGGGAACUGAAACAUCUAAGUACCCCGAGGAAAAGAAAUCAACCGAGAUUCCCCCAGUAGCGGCGAGCGAACGGGGAGCAGCCCAGAGCCUGAAUCAGUGUGUGUGUUAGUGGAAGCGUCUGGAAAGGCGCGCGAUACAGGGUGACAGCCCCGUACACAAAAAUGCACAUGCUGUGAGCUCGAUGAGUAGGGCGGGACACGUGGUAUCCUGUCUGAAUAUGGGGGGACCAUCCUCCAAGGCUAAAUACUCCUGACUGACCGAUAGUGAACCAGUACCGUGAGGGAAAGGCGAAAAGAACCCCGGCGAGGGGAGUGAAAAAGAACCUGAAACCGUGUACGUACAAGCAGUGGGAGCACGCUUAGGCGUGUGACUGCGUACCUUUUGUAUAAUGGGUCAGCGACUUAUAUUCUGUAGCAAGGUUAACCGAAUAGGGGAGCCGAAGGGAAACCGAGUCUUAACUGGGCGUUAAGUUGCAGGGUAUAGACCCGAAACCCGGUGAUCUAGCCAUGGGCAGGUUGAAGGUUGGGUAACACUAACUGGAGGACCGAACCGACUAAUGUUGAAAAAUUAGCGGAUGACUUGUGGCUGGGGGUGAAAGGCCAAUCAAACCGGGAGAUAGCUG
Molecule: ribosomal RNA, 807 nt
Filed under: Escherichia coli
Lineage: Bacteria; Pseudomonadati; Pseudomonadota; Gammaproteobacteria; Enterobacterales; Enterobacteriaceae
Description: partial 23S ribosomal RNA
Rfam family: Bacterial large subunit ribosomal RNA
Source: RNAcentral